Molecule: ribosomal RNA, 517 nt
Filed under: uncultured bacterium
Lineage: Bacteria
Description: bacterial SSU rRNA
Rfam family: Bacterial small subunit ribosomal RNA
Source: RNAcentral
ACGAACGCUGGCGGCGUGCCUAAUACAUGCAAGUCGAACGGUCUUUCUAUGGAAGCUUGCUUCCACUGAGAAGAUAGUGGCGAACGGGUGAGUAACACGUGGGUAACCUGCCCAUAAGAGGGGGAUAACAUCCGGAAACGGGUGCUAAUACCGCAUAGUUUUCUUGAUCGCAUGAUCGGGAAAGGAAAGACGGCCUUUGUGCUGUCGCUUAUGGAUGGACCCGCGGCGUAUUAGUUAGUUGGUGAGGUAACGGCUCACCAAGACGAUGAUACGUAGCCGACCUGAGAGGGUGAUCGGCCACAUUGGGACUGAGACACGGCCCAAACUCCUACGGGAGGCAGCAGUAGGGAAUCUUCCGCAAUGGACGAAAGUCUGACGGAGCAACGCCGCGUGAGUGAAGAAGGUUUUCGGGAAUCGUAAAACUCUGUUGUCAGAGAAGAACAAGUUGGAGAGUAACUGCUCCAGCCUUGACGGUAUCUGACCAGAAAGCCACGGCUAACUACGUGCCAGCAGCUGC